ACAAAAUUAGAUUUUAUUUUAUAAAAUCGAAAAUUAGUUUAAAUCUUUUUUUAAAAGAUUUAUUCUUCCACAUUAUGUGAACUGUAUUAUUGUUAAAUUUUCUUGAGGAAUUAGAAUUUUUUUUUUGAAAAAUAAAAGAAAUAUAAUUUAUUUUAAACUCAAGAAAAUAUUUUUUAUAUUAAACUUUCUAGAUUAAUUUUUUGUCUUUAAAUUUUUUAAAUAAUUUUAAUUUAAAA
Molecule: unclassified non-coding RNA, 236 nt
Filed under: uncultured Lobulomyces
Lineage: Eukaryota; Fungi; Chytridiomycota; Chytridiomycetes; Lobulomycetales
Description: sequence contains ITS1
Source: RNAcentral